Molecule: unclassified non-coding RNA, 180 nt
Filed under: soil metagenome
Description: partial internal transcribed spacer 1
Source: RNAcentral
CCGAGUUUACAACUCCCAAACCCAAUGUGAACCAUACCAAACUGUUGCCUCGGCGGGUCACGCCCCGGGUGCGUCGCAGCCCCGGAACCAGGCGCCCGCCGGAGGGACCAACCAAACUCUUUCUGUAGUCCCCUCGCGGACGUUAUUUCUUACAGCUCUGAGCAAAAAUUCAAAUGAAUC